Homo sapiens (human) is the source of this 154-nucleotide non-coding RNA. It matches the Rfam family "Metazoan signal recognition particle RNA". Rfam says of the family: The signal recognition particle (SRP) is a universally conserved ribonucleoprotein. It is involved in the co-translational targeting of proteins to membranes. NCBI's taxonomy places the organism in Eukaryota, Metazoa, Chordata, Mammalia, Primates, Hominidae. The record is from Rfam.
GCCAGGCACAGUGGUGAGUGCCUGUAAUCCCAGCUACUUGGGAGGCUGAGGCAGGGGAAUCACUUGAAUCCAGGAGGCAGAAGUGGAGGUUGCAGUGAGCCGAGAUCACACUACUGCAUUCCAGCCUGGGUGACAUAGUAAGACGCUGUCUCAA